UCUCAACUGAUUGUAGCUAGCCAAAAAAGAUUAUCUGUUUUCGAGAUGCUUAUUAAUGAUGAAUCAGAAGUGGGUUCAGAAAGAAGUCUGGUUCAUGAAGCUCAUUUGAAGGUUUAGGUAAGAUCAGAACAGAGACUCCAUUGUACUCACCAAACCAAGAGGGCAGGUAAUGGAUAUAAUCUGCAAGAUCUCUCAUAUUCCCUAUUCACUCGCUAGAUACUUGUCCUAAUAACAGUUAGUUUUAGUUUCCUAGACUACUUUCUGUGUCAUAUUGUUUUCAUGAACUGCAUACUUCAUGAAUCUAUUUUCCAUUUAAAAUGGUACUUCUAUUUGCAAGCAGCAAUUAAUUGACUCUCUAAAUUCAAAUUAUGGUUUGUCUACAUCAUAAAAGAAGGGAAUAUGAGAUUUCCAAAGAAGAUAAGUAUGUUUAUCACAAACCUGGAACUCUUUUUGAUAAGUAUGAUAUGAUGUGUAAGAAAAUCUAGUUACACUCCAAAGUAAAUUGUUUGUUGAGGUACGGACUGGUAAAGUGCAAUAUUACUUAUAUAACUGAUAUGACACAUUUAACUGGUG
This is a long non-coding RNA of Gossypium arboreum, 573 nucleotides long. RefSeq lists it as uncharacterized. The record is from RefSeq and is a predicted model, not a curated record. The transcript is spliced from 3 exons. Lineage: Eukaryota; Viridiplantae; Streptophyta; Magnoliopsida; Malvales; Malvaceae.